RNAcentral lists this ribosomal RNA (479 nucleotides) under Oscillospiraceae bacterium. Its description in RNAcentral is "bacterial SSU rRNA". It matches the Rfam family "Bacterial small subunit ribosomal RNA", at positions 1 to 464 of the family's 1533-position model. The record is from RNAcentral. Lineage: Bacteria; Bacillati; Bacillota; Clostridia; Eubacteriales; Oscillospiraceae.
UUUUUAGAGAGUUUGAUCCUGGCUCAGGAUGAACGCUGGCGGCGUGCCUAACACAUGCAAGUCGAACGAAGCUUGACGGAUGAUUUCUUCGGAAUGAAACCAGAUAUGACUUAGUGGCGGACGGGUGAGUAACACGUGAGCAACCUGCCUUUCAGAGGGGGAUAACGGCUGGAAACGGUCGCUAAUACCGCAUGAUGUGUUCGGAUGGCAUCAUCUGAACAUCAAAGAUUUAUCGCUGAAAGAUGGGCUCGCGUCUGAUUAGAUAGUUGGUGGGGUAACGGCCUACCAAGUCUACGAUCAGUAGCCGGACUGAGAGGUUGAACGGCCACAUUGGGACUGAGAUACGGCCCAGACUCCUACGGGAGGCAGCAGUGGGGAAUAUUGCACAAUGGGCGCAAGCCUGAUGCAGCCAUGCCGCGUGUGUGAAUAAGGCAUGUAUCUUAUACACAUCUGACGCUGCCGACGACUAGUAGAGUGGU